CCUACGGGUGACAGCAGUGGGGAAUAUUGGGCAAUGGGCGAAAGCCUGACCCAGCAACGCCGCGUGAAGGAAGAAUGCUUUCGGGUUGUAAACUUCUUUUGACAGGGAAGAGCAGAAGACGGUACCUGUCGAGUAAGCCACGGCUAACUACGUGCCAGCAGUCGCGGUAAUACGUAGGUGGCAAGCGUUGUACGGAUUUGCUGGGUGUAAAGGGCGUGUAGCCGGGCUGACAAGUCAGAUGUGAAAUCCGGGGGCUCAACCCCCGAACUGCAUUUGAAACUGUUGGUCUUGAGUAUCGGAGAGGCAGGCGGAAUUCCUAGUGUAGCGGUGAAAUGCGUAGAUAUUAGGAAGAACACCAGUGGCGAAGGCAGCCUGCUGGACGACAACUGACGGUGAGGCGCGAAAGCGUGGGGAGCAAACAGGAUUAGAUACCCCUGUAGUC
RNAcentral lists this ribosomal RNA (442 nucleotides) under uncultured bacterium. Its description in RNAcentral is "partial 16S ribosomal RNA". It matches the Rfam family "Bacterial small subunit ribosomal RNA", at positions 338 to 795 of the family's 1533-position model. The record is from RNAcentral.